RNAcentral lists this ribosomal RNA (494 nucleotides) under uncultured bacterium. Its description in RNAcentral is "partial 16S ribosomal RNA". It matches the Rfam family "Bacterial small subunit ribosomal RNA", at positions 31 to 507 of the family's 1533-position model. The record is from RNAcentral.
GAACGCUGGCGGCGUGCCUAAUACAUGCAAGUCGAGCGAACGGACGAGAAGCUUGCUUUUCUGAUGUUAGCGGCGGACGGGUGAGUAACACGUGGAUAACCUACCUAUAAGACUGGGAUAACUUCGGGAAACCGGAGCUAAUACCGGAUAAUAUUUUGAACCGCAUGGUUCAAAAGUGAAAGACGGUCUUGCUGUCACUUAUAGAUGGAUCCGCGCUGCAUUAGCUAGUUGGUAAGGUAACGGCUUACCAAGGCAACGAUGCAUAGCCGACCUGAGAGGGUGAUCGGCCACACUGGAACUGAGACACGGUCCAGACUCCUACGGGAGGCAGCAGUAGGGAAUCUUCCGCAAUGGGCGAAGGCCUGACGGAGCAACGCCGCGUGAGUGAUGAAGGUCUUCGGAUCGUAAAACUCUGUUAUUAGGGAAGAACAUAUGUGUAAGUAACUGUGCACAUCUUGACGGUACCUAAUCAGAAAGCCACGGCUAACUACGUG